AGAGAGAGAGAGAGAGAGAUGAGAGCGGCGAAAGUCUCAGGGAUCUUCAGAUGAUAGGGAAGAUAACCGUCUCAGAGAAACUUAUUCCCCAAGAAAAUAGAAUCUAGUGAAAAUUGACCUGUAUUUGCUCAGGUCAUUCAUCAUUGAUUCUGGUUAAGUUGCCAAUCAAAUCAUGAUGAUCCCUGGACGAGAAUUUUUUUUAAAAAGGGUGGAUCACAAAUAGAAAUAGGAGGAGGGGAGGGUGCAGAUGAAACGAUAAUAGCACUUGUAUGGAUUUUCUCGAAAUUGGCUGGAAUUUUCU
This 301-nucleotide long non-coding RNA is filed under the name Brassica napus (rape). RNAcentral's name for it is "long non-coding RNA (BNAP_LNC021721)". Lineage: Eukaryota; Viridiplantae; Streptophyta; Magnoliopsida; Brassicales; Brassicaceae. The record is from RNAcentral.